Molecule: microRNA precursor, 80 nt
Organism: Bos grunniens (domestic yak)
Lineage: Eukaryota; Metazoa; Chordata; Mammalia; Artiodactyla; Bovidae
Source: Ensembl
UUCUGAAAUACCAAAGCAUACAAUUUAAGUUGCUGCUUAUUGACAGCAGAAUUUUUGGAUACUGGGGACUUUAAUCAGAA